UCGGCCGCUCAUUCCUUCGAUCGUCUUGAUGGAGCGCUCACUAAAAUCAAAAUAGAUAAAUGGUGGUAUUCGCAUCUCAAGAGAUGGAAUUUGCCACCUGGCCUAAAUUUGCAGAAGCAUCAGCUCAUAUGCAAGAAGAGUGAAGCCUGCCAUCUCUCCAUAAAGGGUAGAUGGAGGAGGAAGAGAGGAAAGGGGUUGAGGGGACAAAAUAGGGAGAAAGGGAGGAGAAAAGGAAACAAACUACAAACUACUUUAGAUGAUUUUCCCAGAAUGAGGAGGCAGACUAGAGAGAUGAUAUUUCUGGGUUUGGAAUGGAACUUAAUCCAGUGUGAGUCCCAUCCUAGAUCUAGAAUAACAGGAUUUGAGAUGACCGAUAAGAAAACCUUAGAACUGUUUUCAACUUUCACAUCCCCAUUGCCCAGGAAAAUGCUGUUGCACAAGGCAGCAACAUGAGUCAUUAAUUUAUAAUGAAAUUCUACAUCCCAGAUUCAAUUUAAAGAUAGACUUCAGCCUUCUCUCCCUGCGAUUUGUUUUGUCCCACCUAUUCUCUGUUAAAACCUUUUUACCAUAUAUGAAAACAUAUUAAAACCAUUCUUUUAAUACUUGCAAACUAUUUCCUAUUUUGAGGAUCUAUGUACAAACCACUGGGGGUGAAAAAUUUUUCUUGGAAAAAUCCUGAAUUCCUGACAUCAUCUCUGUUAGAGCCCAAGGCAAUAUACAGUAGUAACCUCCACUUCAUUUACCUUGUGUGCCUGGGUUAGGUUAAAUUAGAAUUUUAAGAUUAACAUCUGUGUUCUUUAACAGAGGGUAUUCUCAAAGACAAAAGUAAAUACUUCAGCUUUUGAAUAAAAUGUUAUAACCUCGU
Molecule: long non-coding RNA, 865 nt
Organism: Ornithorhynchus anatinus (platypus)
Lineage: Eukaryota; Metazoa; Chordata; Mammalia; Monotremata; Ornithorhynchidae
Exons: 2
Source: RefSeq, a predicted model, not a curated record